Molecule: ribosomal RNA, 302 nt
Filed under: uncultured bacterium
Lineage: Bacteria
Description: partial 16S ribosomal RNA
Rfam family: Bacterial small subunit ribosomal RNA
Source: RNAcentral
GCAGCCGCCGCGGGAAUACGAAGGGUGCAAGCGUUAAUCGGAAUUACUAGGCGUAAAGGGUGCGUAGGCGGUUAUAUAAGACAGAUGUGAAAUCCCCGGGCUCAACCUGGGACCUGCAUUUGUGACUGUAUAGCUAGAGUACGGUAGAGGGGGAUGGAAUUCCGCGUGUAGCAGUGAAAUGCGUAGAUAUGCGGAGGAACACCGAUGGCGAAGGCAAUCCCCUGGACCUGUACUGACGCUCAUGCACGAAAGCGUGGGGAGCAAACAGGAUUAGAUACCCCGGUAGUCCCUGUCUCUUAUAC